RNAcentral lists this unclassified non-coding RNA (200 nucleotides) under Herpotrichia sp. Its description in RNAcentral is "partial internal transcribed spacer 2". Lineage: Eukaryota; Fungi; Ascomycota; Dothideomycetes; Pleosporales; Melanommataceae. The record is from RNAcentral.
UUAAGUUCAGCAGGUAUCCCUACCUGAUCCGAGGUCAAAGUAAAAAAGAGGCUUAAUGGAAGGAGUUACGCUGAAAUCAUGACGCAAUGUGCUGCGCACGAAGCCAACAUACCGGCUGCCAAUAAAUUUAAGGCGAGUCCACGCACUGAGGCGGAACAAACACCCAACACCAAGCAGUGCUUGAAGGUUUAAAUGACGCU